AUUGAACGCUAGCGGCAUGCUUAACACAUGCAGGUCGAACGGUAGCAGAUCCAGCUUGCUGGAUGCUGACGAGUGGCGGACGGGUGAGUAACACGUAGGAAUCUACCUUGUAGUGGGGAAUAACUUGGGGAAACUCAAGCUAAUACCGCAUAAGUCCUAAGGGAGAAAGCGGGGGACCGUAAGGCCUCGCGCUAUAAGAUGAGCCUGCGUCGGAUUAGCUUGUUGGUGGGGUAAAGGCCUACCAAGGCAAUGAUCCGUAGCUGGUCUGAGAGGAUGACCAGCCACACUGGGACUGAGACACGGCCCAGACUCCUACGGGAGGCAGCAGUGGGGAAUAUUGGACAAUGGGCGGAAGCCUGAUCCAGCAAUGCCGCGUGUGUGAAGAAGGCCUGCGGGUUGUAAAGCACUUUUAUCAGGAAAGAAAAUCUCGGGGUUAAUAGCCCCGGGCCUUGACGGUACCUGAAGAAUAAGCACCGGCUAACUCCGUG
RNAcentral lists this ribosomal RNA (488 nucleotides) under uncultured bacterium. Its description in RNAcentral is "bacterial SSU rRNA". It matches the Rfam family "Bacterial small subunit ribosomal RNA", at positions 30 to 507 of the family's 1533-position model. The record is from RNAcentral.